This 700-nucleotide ribosomal RNA is filed under the name Curculionidae sp. NZAC 03011908. RNAcentral describes it as "eukaryotic LSU rRNA". The stretch from base 351 to 700 matches the Rfam family "Eukaryotic large subunit ribosomal RNA", at positions 1 to 855 of the family's 3401-position model. The record is from RNAcentral. Lineage: Eukaryota; Metazoa; Arthropoda; Insecta; Coleoptera; Curculionidae.
GUGAAACCGUUCAGGGGUAAACCUGAGAAACCCGAAAGGUCGAAGGGGGAAAUUCAUUCGCGUCUCGCCGUCGGCGGGGGGCGGUCGUGCGACGGAAGACGCGCUCGCGCGCGUCAUCCGCGCCCUCCGCUUCCGGAUCCGGUGGCGAACGCGUGCACUUUUCUCCCGGUAGGACGUCGCGAUCCGUCGGGCGUCGGUCUACGGCUAGCGGUGGAGACCGGGCGCGCGCUUCGGCGCGCGCCAGGACCCGCAUGUCCCGGCCGACUCGCUCGACGGUAUGCGAACGGUCAAGGGCCGCUCAACAGAGGAGCGUUCGGCCCGUCGCAAGCGCGUCAGACGCAUCGGCGAUCGGACCUCGUGCCGGUUCCGAUCUCUGGCGACUGUUUGGCGGCGGAGCUCUCGAACAGACCCCCUGACCGAUCUGCGACGCUAUAGCUUUGGGUACUUUCAGGACCCGUCUUGAAACACGGACCAAGGAGUCUAGCAUGUGCGCGAGUCAUUGGGACAAACUAGACCCAAAGGCGCAAUGAAAGUGAAGGUCCGCCUCGCGCGGACUGGGGGAGGACGGGCGGUUCGCCCUCAAAAGCGGCCGCCCCGCACUCCCGGGGCGUCUCGUUCUCAUCGCGAGGAGAGGCGCACCGAGAGCGUACACGCUGGGACCCGAAAGAUGGUGACCUAUGCCUGGUCAGGACGAAGUCAG